This 253-nucleotide ribosomal RNA is filed under the name uncultured prokaryote. Its description in RNAcentral is "partial 16S ribosomal RNA". It matches the Rfam family "Bacterial small subunit ribosomal RNA", at positions 524 to 776 of the family's 1533-position model. The record is from RNAcentral.
UACGGAGGAUCCAAGCGUUAUCCGGAAUCAUUGGGUUUAAAGGGUCCGUAGGCGGCCUUAUAAGUCAGUGGUGAAAUCUCCCCGCUCAACGGGGAAACUGCCAUUGAUACUGUAAGGCUUGAAUUAUUGUGAAGUAACCAGAAUAUGUAGUGUAGCGGUGAAAUGCUUAGAGAUUACAUGGAAUACCGAUUGCGAAGGCAGGUUACUAACGGUUGAUUGACGCUGAUGGACGAAAGCGUGGGUAGCGAACAGG